GACGAACGCUGGCGGCGUGCUUAACACAUGCAAGUCGAACGGAAAGGCCCUGCUUGCAGGGUACUCGAGUGGCGAACGGGUGAGUAACACGUGGGUGAUCUGCCCUGCACUUCGGGAUAAGCUUGGGAAACUGGGUCUAAUACCGGAUAGGAGCCAUCUUUAGUGUGGUGGUUGGAAAGUUUUUUCGGUGUAGGAUGAGCUCGCGGCCUAUCAGCUUGUUGGUGGGGUAAUGGCCUACCAAGGCGGCUACGGGUAGCCGGCCUGAGAGGGUGUACGGCCACAUUGGGACUGAGAUACGGCCCAGACUCCUACGGGAGGCAGCAGUGGGGAAUAUUGCACGAUGGGCGCAAGCCUGAUGCAGCGACGCCGCGUGGGGGAUGAAGGCCUUCGGGUUGUAAACUCCUUUCGCUAGGGACGAAGCUUUUUGUGACGGUACCUAGAUAAGAAGCACCGGCUAACUACGUG
Molecule: ribosomal RNA, 465 nt
Filed under: uncultured bacterium
Lineage: Bacteria
Description: partial 16S ribosomal RNA
Rfam family: Bacterial small subunit ribosomal RNA
Source: RNAcentral